Molecule: long non-coding RNA, 2691 nt
Organism: Siniperca chuatsi (mandarin fish)
Lineage: Eukaryota; Metazoa; Chordata; Actinopteri; Centrarchiformes; Sinipercidae
Exons: 3
Source: RefSeq, a predicted model, not a curated record
CAAUUAUGGUGAGGAUGACUGUGGCCAGUGACGAAGUCCAGCGCUAUGUGUGACCAGGGACAGCCGGGUGUGGGCAGAGGAUGGAGCAGAUCAGAAGAGGGUGGGCCACCAGAAGCACUGGCAGAGGAAGAUGCAGCAACCUCAGAUGCAGAGGUAGCAAGAGAAGGGGUGGAAAUUGUAUAAUUUGCACAUGUUGGAGCACAUGUGGCCAAAGCAAUGUGUCUGGGAGCAGGAAAGCGCAACAGGAGAACUUCCCAAACUUAACACUUGGUGUGCCCUUGUCCCCUGAGCACACACCAUCCCAGUGGUCUAGUCUUCAGGAGGAAGAUCCAACCUUGAGGUGAUUGUCCUUGUAUCUGCAAAGGGGCCAAUGGCCCAACAAGCACGAGAGUUGGCAGGAGUCUAAACGUGUUCUAUAUAUUCUGCAACACUGUGCCGUACACUACGGGAUCCCAAGGAAGUCUACCCAGUGAUUAAAUUUCUAGAGCUGGAGCUUGGGAGCCAGAGCAAUAUUCUCUGGAGACAGAAAAACACACGAUGGGUAGAAGGAUCACCGGAGUGGAAGUACACGCUGGCGUAGGAACGGGAAGGAAACCAACAGGCAUUGACAUCGAGGGAAGAAGACCAGACAACUGGCUGAGCUCUGGGACGAUGGAGAAAUUGCACACAGGAGGCGGGUCUGUGUAGUAGUUUAGCCAAUUGCUGAUUAAAGAUAUGAACGUAUAACAUACAAUUUAUCCAAUCAGCAUCCUCAAAUCUAAUCCAAACAGGGCGCCCCAAGCGAGCCACUGCUAAAGUCAGGACUAGUCUCUACAGGCGCCCUUUUAACUACAUGACAAUGGCAAGAGUGUUCACUACUCCUCCAAGACCCAAUCCUAACUCUCUCCUCCAAGAUCCGCUUGAGAGAAGAACUUUGGUGGAGAAACUACAGGCGAAAGAGCUGGGCCCAGAUCAACCUGACCUCACAGUCAGACAGCAGGCUAGCGAGAAAGGAUAGCAGUGUAUGCAAGGCUUCUCUCAUAGCCGGUACACCAGAAUGGCCUGGAUAGCUGGUAGCAGUCAUGCUAAUGCCUUAUUUUGCUUUUUGCGUUUGAGUGAAGGAUAUGAAGUACCUGUCUUGAUAACUAUGGACUGACUCAGCACAAUAAGCACAAUAAGGGACACACUCUGGACUUCAUUUCCAAGGGUCUGAACAUUUCUAAGGUUGGGAUGACUGAUGUUGCUCUCUCUGAUCAUUCAUGUGUUUUCUUUGAGUUUGCUAUCUCUGUGAACAUAAAUGUUCAAACAGAUGUAAUCACAAAACGGUACAUCACUGAAAACACCGGUAAAAUAUUUAUUCAGGGUUUCUCUUCCACAUGUUCUUGGGUCUUAGUCAAUGAACGAAAUAAUUUCAAUUCUAAAAUUACAAAUGUUAUUGAUGCCAUUCCACCCACUACGGUGAGGGCUGUCUCUGGUAACAAAAGGUCUCCAUGGAGAAAUGUCAGGCUAGUAAGAAUAGAGAGACAAAAGCCUGCCGUAAAGCUGAAUGCAGGUGGUGAAAAACAAAUCUCCAGGUUCAUUAUGACAUCUAUAAAGAGAGACUUCACAUUUAUAAUUUAGAACUGAGAAAUGCAAGGUGGUUCUUCGUCUCUGACAUCAUCGCCAAAAACAAUAUUAAUGCACGUGCCUUGUUUGCUACUGUUGACAGGCUAACAAACCCUCCUCUGUCAGUAGUCUUUGAACUUCUAUCCACCAGGGCCUGCAAUGAAUUUGCCUCCUUCUUCACUGACAAAAAAUCAGAAAAUUAGACAGGCAGUCAGUGCCUCCAUAUCAGGUACACGAUUUGUGUUGUCCCUGUGUCCACUAAAAUCAAUUCAAAUAGCAUGACACAAUUGGAUCCUAUUAACCAUAAAAUCUUGGAGGACAUUAUACAACAUCUGAAAUCCUCCUCCUGCUGCCUUGUUAUUCUGCCAACAGGCUUUCAAAAAUGUUUCUAAUUGCUUGGCGUCAGAUCUUUUUACAAAUUAUCAAUAUGUCUCUUCUCUCAGGUGUCUUCCCACAGGCCCUGAAAACUGCAGUCAUCAAGCCACUCUUAAAAAAGAACAAUCUAGUCACUAAUAGGCCCAUAUCAAAUCUCUCAUUUUUAAGUAAAAUCAUUGAAAAAGCUGUUUUUCAACAGCUGAACAACUUCUUGGCAACAGCUCGAGCACACCACAGGACUGAGACUCCUCUAAAGUUUUGAAUGACAUCCACUUAAACACAGACAGCGGCAGAAUUUCAGUUUUGGUAUUACUGGAUCUCAGUGCUGCAUUUGACACAGUCGACCACAACAUUUUAUUAGAUCAACUGGAAGACUGGGUGGGACUUUCUGGCACAGUGUUAAACUGAUUUGAAUCCUACUUAAAGGACAGGGACUACUUUGUGUCUAUAGGUAAUACAUCAUAGUGGACAAAAAUUGCAUGUGGCGUUCCCCAAGGCUCCAUUCUAGGGCCUCUUCUGUUUAACAUCUACAUGUUCCCACUGGCUCAGAUUGUGGAAAAGAAUAAAAUAAAUGAUCAUAAUUAUGCAGACGACAGACAGAUUUACAUAACAAUGUCACUAGGGGACUAUAGUCCUAUACAAGCAUUGAGUAAGUGCAUUGAACAAAUCAACAAUUGGAUGUGCCAGAAUUUUCUUGAAUUAAACAAAGAUAAAACUGAAGUCAUUGUUUUU